This 1311-nucleotide ribosomal RNA is filed under the name Campylobacter coli. Its description in RNAcentral is "bacterial SSU rRNA". It matches the Rfam family "Bacterial small subunit ribosomal RNA", at positions 202 to 1533 of the family's 1533-position model. The record is from RNAcentral. Lineage: Bacteria; Pseudomonadati; Campylobacterota; Epsilonproteobacteria; Campylobacterales; Campylobacteraceae. RNAcentral also lists the same sequence under 1 other name.
UAGGGAAAGUUUUUCGGUGUAGGAUGAGACUAUAUAGUAUCAGCUAGUUGGUAAGGUAAUGGCUUACCAAGGCUAUGACGCUUAACUGGUCUGAGAGGAUGAUCAGUCACACUGGAACUGAGACACGGUCCAGACUCCUACGGGAGGCAGCAGUAGGGAAUAUUGCGCAAUGGGGGAAACCCUGACGCAGCAACGCCGCGUGGAGGAUGACACUUUUCGGAGCGUAAACUCCUUUUCUUAGGGAAGAAUUCUGACGGUACCUAAGGAAUAAGCACCGGCUAACUCCGUGCCAGCAGCCGCGGUAAUACGGAGGGUGCAAGCGUUACUCGGAAUCACUGGGCGUAAAGGGCGCGUAGGCGGAUUAUCAAGUCUCUUGUGAAAUCUAAUGGCUUAACCAUUAAACUGCUUGGGAAACUGAUAGUCUGGAGUGAGGGAGAGGCAGAUGGAAUUGGUGGUGUAGGGGUAAAAUCCGUAGAUAUCACCAAGAAUACCCAUUGCGAAGGCGAUCUGCUGGAACUCAACUGACGCUAAGGCGCGAAAGCGUGGGGAGCAAACAGGAUUAGAUACCCUGGUAGUCCACGCCCUAAACGAUGUACACUAGUUGUUGGGGUGCUAGUCAUCUCAGUAAUGCAGCUAACGCAUUAAGUGUACCGCCUGGGGAGUACGGUCGCAAGAUUAAAACUCAAAGGAAUAGACGGGGACCCGCACAAGCGGUGGAGCAUGUGGUUUAAUUCGAAGAUACGCGAAGAACCUUACCUGGGCUUGAUAUCCUAAGAACCUUUUAGAGAUAAGAGGGUGCUAGCUUGCUAGAACUUAGAGACAGGUGCUGCACGGCUGUCGUCAGCUCGUGUCGUGAGAUGUUGGGUUAAGUCCCGCAACGAGCGCAACCCACGUAUUUAGUUGCUAACGGUUCGGCCGAGCACUCUAAAUAGACUGCCUUCGUAAGGAGGAGGAAGGUGUGGACGACGUCAAGUCAUCAUGGCCCUUAUGCCCAGGGCGACACACGUGCUACAAUGGCAUAUACAAUGAGACGCAAUACCGCGAGGUGGAGCAAAUCUAUAAAAUAUGUCCCAGUUCGGAUUGUUCUCUGCAACUCGAGAGCAUGAAGCCGGAAUCGCUAGUAAUCGUAGAUCAGCCAUGCUACGGUGAAUACGUUCCCGGGUCUUGUACUCACCGCCCGUCACACCAUGGGAGUUGAUUUCACUCGAAGCCGGAAUACUAAACUAGUUACCGUCCACAGUGGAAUCAGCGACUGGGGUGAAGUCGUAACAAGGUAACCGUAGGAGAACCUGCGGUUGGAUCACCUCCUUU